RNAcentral lists this ribosomal RNA (440 nucleotides) under uncultured bacterium. RNAcentral describes it as "partial 16S ribosomal RNA". It matches the Rfam family "Bacterial small subunit ribosomal RNA", at positions 338 to 795 of the family's 1533-position model. The record is from RNAcentral.
CCUACGGGAGUCAGCAGUGGGGGAUAUUGCACAAUGGGGGGAACCCUGCUGCAGCGACGCCGCGUGGGUGAAGAAGCGCCUCGGCGCGUACAGCCCUGUCAGCAGGGAAGAAAAUGACGGUACCUGAAGACGAAGCCCCGGCUAACUACGUUCCAGCAGCCGCGGUAAUACGUAGGGGGCAAGCGUUAUCCGGAUUUACUGGGUGUAAAGGGGGCGCAGACGGCGAUGCAAGCCAGGAGUGAAAGCCCGGGGCCCAACCCCGGGACUGCUCUUGGAACUGCGUGGCUGGAGGGCAGGAGGGGCAGGCGGAAUUCCUGGUGUAGCGGUGAAAUGCGUAGAUAUCAGGAGGAACACCGGUGGCGAAGGCGGCCUGCUGGACUGCAACUGACGUUGAGGCCCGAAAGCGUGGGGAGCAAACAGGAUUAGAUACCCGGGUAGUC